Molecule: ribosomal RNA, 253 nt
Filed under: uncultured bacterium
Lineage: Bacteria
Description: partial 16S ribosomal RNA
Rfam family: Bacterial small subunit ribosomal RNA
Source: RNAcentral
UACGUAGGGACCAAGCGUUGUUCGGAUUUACUGGGCGUAAAGGGCGCGUAGGCGGCGUGUUAAGUCAGCUGUGAAAUCUCCAAGCUUAACUUGGAACGGUCAGCUGAUACUGAUGUGCUAGAGUGCAGAAGGGGCAAUCGGAAUUCUUGGUGUAGCGGUGAAAUGCGUAGAUAUCAGGAGGAACACCGGUGGCGAAGGCGGAUUUCUGGACCAGUUCUGACACUGAUGAGCGAAAGCCAGGGGAGCAAACAGG